Molecule: ribosomal RNA, 253 nt
Filed under: uncultured bacterium
Lineage: Bacteria
Description: partial 16S ribosomal RNA
Rfam family: Bacterial small subunit ribosomal RNA
Source: RNAcentral
UACGUAGGGUGCGAGCGUUGCCCGGAUUUAUUGGGCGUAAAGGGCGCGUAGGCGGCUCGGCACGUCCGUUGUGAAAUCGCCCGGCUCAACUGGGCGGGGUCAGCGGAUACGGCCGAGCUUGAGCAAGCUAGGGGGCAAUGGAAUUCCCGGUGUAGUGGUGGAAUGCGUAGAUAUCGGGAGGAACACCAGUGGCGAAGGCGGCUCACUGGCCCGGUACUGGCGCUGAGGUGCGAAAGCGUGGGGAGCAAACAGG